UAGUAUCUGUCGUAUCUGUCUCCACACAUAGAGGCAGUGGAGGUAGUUUACAGUGUUUACAGUUGUCACCGCGUGGUUACCGCCAUUACCGCGUUUCCCCCUCGCCGAAGCGUUCCGGUUCCAGUCCACUGGUAGUAGUGUGCGUUUUAAGUUACCACUAAUGUAUUAUCGUAAAUAAGUGUCGAAGAUUGUAUGUUCUUUUCAAUAAGCUCUCACAUUGAAGCCUUUGAAACAUUUUCAUCGGCCAUACAGGAGGUUGAUGAAACUGCAAUUGUAACCAAGUGAGUGAAGUAGAUGCUCCAAGCCCAAUAACGGGAUGAGCCCGUAAAAUGUGCAUUUUGCCAGGUUAAACUUUCUGCAGUGCAAGAACCAAAACUUUUAGAGUGUCUGCACACAGCUUUUAGGUAUUGUGUGUCUCGUAAAGUAGGUUAACAAAAUGUGGAGAAUGUUCGUGAGGUCAACAUAUUAUUCUCCUGCAUUAAUAAUACAAUUUUUCUACAGUGCCAACUGUGGAUAGCAUGUCAUGAGUCCUUCCCUGUUUUGUGUAGCAUGUGACAUACUGAUAUGUCAGGAUUGUCUGUUUACUGACCAUCAUCACCAUAAGUACAAAUUUAUCCAUGAGAUAGCAGAGGAAACAAAGAAUAUGAUACGUGGGCUUUUAUCUGAAGUCAGGUUGACAGAUAUAAUCAUUACCAAAGGAAGACAGCGGGUUCUGCAGGCAACUGAACUUCAUUAUGACACACAGAAAGAACUUAAGAAUAAAAAAUAUUCUUGUGAGAAA
RNA transcript from Cryptotermes secundus, 781 nucleotides. It is a transcript of the gene named E3 ubiquitin-protein ligase TRIM33-like, with no coding region annotated. The record is from RefSeq and is a predicted model, not a curated record. NCBI's taxonomy places the organism in Eukaryota, Metazoa, Arthropoda, Insecta, Blattodea, Kalotermitidae. The transcript is spliced from 3 exons.